Poecilia latipinna (sailfin molly) is the source of this 1153-nucleotide long non-coding RNA. RefSeq lists it as uncharacterized. NCBI's taxonomy places the organism in Eukaryota, Metazoa, Chordata, Actinopteri, Cyprinodontiformes, Poeciliidae. The transcript has 3 exons. The record is from RefSeq and is a predicted model, not a curated record.
GUGGUUUACCAAAUACUUUUUACACUUGCUUAAUUAAACGUAUUUAAAGUAUACUACUCUGAUUGGAGUACAGUUUUGGGGUACUCGAACCGACCUCUAUGUAUGAACGGUUGUUCUAUGGAUAAUUUUUUAAAGACAAAAAACACCGCCAUAAAAUAUUAAAUAUCACUGCAGCGACCAUCCCACCCUGAGAGAGUCGGGUGACGUGCGCCGUAGUGGGCGCCCCUUAUUUAGAUUUCUGAAAGGUGGCAACCCUGCUAUGCCGCCAAGAAAAAUAAUAAAGUGAGGUUUUAAAAAAAAUGGAGAGAUAGAGAGAAAAGGAAUGUUCUCUAUUCUCAAUUUACAACCCAGUUCUUCUCCAAGAGGUGGGUACUGUUAGGUUGGAGUUGUUUUCUGUUUUGGUUUUUCUUCUUUUUCUCUUUGUGUUCUGCUCUGGUUUCCUGGGAAGCUGCUACUUCCCCUCAAUAGCCGCCAGAUGCCACCACUGGGCGGAGCCCCUGGAGAAGUGCGGCAGCCAACCUAUAGACACACCUGUGUCUAAUCUACGAGAGCUGCUGAGGUGCUUCAUAAGGAACGACUGGCUGAUACUCCAGUGCCUGAGUGUUUGCCUCAACUGGUUUCCUCGUUGUUCCCCUGAGACUCCUUGUGGUGGACGUUUGUUCCCGUCUGGAAAUUCCCCUGUGUUUCCUCAUGACGCCAUUGGUGUUACCAAUUGGUUGCCAUCCUCGUGCACUCGCCUCCCUGGUCCUUUCCGUGGAUUCCCUUUGUUUCGCCUCAGGUUGUGCCUGCUGGCAGUAGAAGAUCCGGGAGCUAGCCAUCUGGACCCCGCUCUGAUGUCAGCUCGCUCCUUUCAUCCAUUCACAAAACUUAUCUGCUCGCUCUCCAACGGAAACCCGCUUCUCCGGCUGCCGCCACAGAGAAUCUCACUCCGCCUUCAAGCAAACCAACGUAUGAAAUGGAUGAGCUCAAUCCUGACUGGGUUCCAGUGCUGAAUAUGGGUCACUGCGAGGUAAACGCCACAACGUGCGUCAAUUAAAGAGGCGAUAUAGCAAAACCAUGGUGGAUCAACAAGUUACAGAGACUGUUUUCAUUAUUUACCCCAGAAGAGGUAAAUAAUGAAAACAGAACAGCGGAGGCAACAGAAGAGGAGCAA